UUUGAUGAAGUUUUCGGAUGGAUUUAAACAGCUUAGUGGCGGACGGGUGAGUAACGCGUGGGUAACCUGCCUCAUAGAGGGGGACAACAGUUGGAAACGACUGCUAAUACCGCAUAGUAAGAAGAAUUCGCAUGUUUUCUUCUUGAAAGAUUUAUCGCUAUGAGAUGGACCCGCGUCUGAUUAGCUAGUUGGUAAGGUAACGGCUUACCAAGGCGACGAUCAGUAGCCGGCUUGAGAGAGUGAACGGCCACAUUGGGACUGAGACACGGCCCAAACUCC
RNAcentral lists this ribosomal RNA (279 nucleotides) under uncultured Eubacteriales bacterium. RNAcentral's name for it is "uncultured Clostridiales bacterium partial 16S ribosomal RNA". It matches the Rfam family "Bacterial small subunit ribosomal RNA", at positions 62 to 339 of the family's 1533-position model. Lineage: Bacteria; Bacillati; Bacillota; Clostridia; Eubacteriales. The record is from RNAcentral. RNAcentral also lists the same sequence under 1 other name.